Molecule: long non-coding RNA, 1313 nt
Organism: Athene cunicularia (burrowing owl)
Lineage: Eukaryota; Metazoa; Chordata; Aves; Strigiformes; Strigidae
Exons: 3
Source: RefSeq, a predicted model, not a curated record
CAUCCCGGGAACCUGGCUGUGUGAGAGCGCGGAGUGGCUCUCGCCAUUCCCGUGCCAGCUGUCCCCUCGCCAUCUCGGAGAAGGCCACCAGGCUGGCGCCUCCGACUCCUGCUCUGUUGACCAGGGGCCGCUUUUGUAGGCGGAGGAGGUUGCCCAGGAGUCCCUGGAGCUGUGGGCUCCUGCGGUCCCAGCGGAGGAGUGGGACAAUGAAGCCUCCUGAGAAGAUGCAGGCUGAUGGUUUCGGGUCCAGCAACACCCAUUCUGGUCUUUCCACUGAAGAGCGCUGCUUGGUGAGGGCUGCUGUGAAGGAGACGUUUGUCUGAGUGUUAACAUCUGAUGAAAAUGGUCCUUCCUAUGGAUUUGGGGCUGCACGUGGGAAAUCCCAGAGCCAGAUGGCUGAGAGGUGCCGUCUGUCUCCCUGCGGAGCGGGGUGCCGGCGGGAUGAGGCUCCAGCUGCACGGUUCCUCAUGACUCGGGGAACUGGGAAGAUGCUGUUUAGCUUUACACCACGGUAAGUGCCGUGACACGGGCGUUUUACUGACUGAUGUAAAAUAGUUUGGGAAUCCUGCCCAGAAUGAUAAGCCAUUGCCAGAACGAUCCUUUCUGGGGGGAAUUGCCGGCAAAGGAAAGUGUCAAGCUGAUAUUUAUCUCCAGAAAAAUGCUACUGUAUAAACUUUUUAAAAGCUAACUUUUAAUUUUGUAAAGCUGUCCCCUCAAAUCAAUUUUAUUCUAAUUCUUGAGAGGAGAGAACCUUUUAGAUCUAAUGGAAAAUGUUAAUAAACCUUCAUGUUGCGGGUUGGUUUUUUCCUAAUUCAGUAAUAGCUGUCAGCACCUUUCUUUCCCUGCUUUCACCUUAACAAGUUAAUACGCUGCACUGCCUCCAGCCUGCGCUGCGAUUAUUAAUUAACGGACCCUUCAGAAUGGAUUUUUGUUCUUCUGUCAGUGCAGUGGGAACAGCCAUUCACGUUCCGUACGGUCUGGUGGAUGUCUUCGGGUGAGACCUUCUCCAGGGACCGCUCUACCUUUUCCGUCCAGCUGUUCCCGUAGCAGCAGCAAAUGGCAGUUGAACGCUGCCCGCCACUCGUGGGUGUUGCGUGCUGCUCCUCAGAUGCUCUUGCUGGAGCCGGCCCCCAGCACCCCGUGGCCAUCCCAUGCAUCCGGGUGAGAAGAACAAGGGUGGAAGGAAACCCCAGGGAUGACGCGUCUCCUCUGCUGUCCAGAACACGCUCAGCUGCCCCCACGUCAUCCUGAGUGACAGAAACCUGCUGAAACCUGGCCUCAAAUCCUGCCAGCACAGUGGACCUCUGUCUACA